RNAcentral lists this ribozyme (74 nucleotides) under Crocodylus porosus (Australian saltwater crocodile). RNAcentral's name for it is "Mammalian CPEB3 ribozyme (ENSCPRG00005015067.1)". It matches the Rfam family "Mammalian CPEB3 ribozyme". Rfam says of the family: The mammalian CPEB3 ribozyme is a self cleaving RNA located in the second intron of the CPEB3 gene which belongs to a family of genes regulating messenger RNA polyadenylation. Lineage: Eukaryota; Metazoa; Chordata; Crocodylia; Crocodylidae. The record is from Rfam by way of RNAcentral.
UGAGAAUUCAAGGCCAUAGCAGAAGCACUCACUAUGCCGCCCUGUCAAAUUCCAACACAUCUGUGAAUUCUGCU